CCCGGUGAUAUUUUAACGGCCGCAGUUAGGAGCUGUGCUAAGGUAGCGUAGUAAGUUGUCCUUUAAAUGGGGAAAGGAAUGAAUGGUUUGACGUGGGGAAGCCUGUCUCUAAUAGAUAGGAAGAAAUUUUCUUUUCGGUGAAAAGCCCGGAAUUUAAUUAAAAGACGAGAAGACCCUUUCGAGCUUGAUUAAGGUGAGAAAAUAUUCUCAGUAAAAGUUUGGUUGGGGCAACCUAGGAGGAAGAGUAGACUCCUUGAAGAUCAUGAAGAGCCAAAAAUUUUGAAAAAAGAAAAAGCUACCGUAGGGAUAACAGCGUAUCUUUCCUGAGAGAACAAAUUGAAGGAGAG
This 347-nucleotide ribosomal RNA is filed under the name Galeommatoidea sp. UF428447A. Its description in RNAcentral is "partial 16S ribosomal RNA". It matches the Rfam family "Bacterial large subunit ribosomal RNA", at positions 1862 to 2515 of the family's 2925-position model. The record is from RNAcentral. Lineage: Eukaryota; Metazoa; Mollusca; Bivalvia; Galeommatida.